UGCGAUGAUCUUGGUAAGCGUGCAAGCUGCGCUCGAAACUAGAUAGAUGCUGUAAUGUAAUGCGUAGGGCACGGGAAGGCGCCUGGAUUGCCUUUGUGCUCAAAAAUGGUAAGCGUAUAAGUCUCAUUCAGAAGAAGCGGCGUAUCGCACGUACUAAAGGCAAAUGCUAAGUAGUGUCAAACGUGGUUUGCAAGGUUAUCAUUUCGACGCCUAAAAACAACAAGACCCUAGUCUCCACGACACUCCAUGGGGGGUGUGAAAUGAGGUGUGAAGAAGUCCAUCCGUAGGUUGCUAUAGUGAUUUUUUUUCUCACUGUUUCGGCCGUAAGGCCACGUGAGUGCGGCGAGUGAGUGAGAGAAAAGUGAGGUGCACUAUUGCGAUGUGAUAUAUCACAAAGUUCAGGAGCGCGCUUGAAGCAAGGCCGUAUACCGUACGAAGCCAUAAUUUGGCUCGUUUAUGUCGAGAUCUGCCAGUCAUUUUUAGAACGGUAUACGGGAAUGCUCGUAGUCUGUAGGACAAGGUGCGGCACAGCGCCCUGUGCAUGCUGCUCGUCGACAAUGUACGUUAGGAUAACCCUUUACGUUGCGGUGAACCACGAUUCGCUAUGCUAAGACGAAGAUGAGCGGUGGCUAUAGCUUGUAACAUCCUAGCUCCACCGACCUCAGUUCCUCCUUGCCGGACCAUUAGGUUGUUCGAGACAGCGGUGACGAAUCUCUAAGAACGCAUCCAAAUCCUUGUGCUUCUAUAUCGUAUCAUAGAAAAAGUGAUAAACUCCACGCUCAGAACCUCAUCAGGACUUAGUACCGCAAUGCAUUCCUUCUAAUCGGAUGAAAACAUUUUUCUGAUGGCGUGGUGUUUGCUACACUGUUGCCCAGGGCGCCCCAGUUCGCCGCGUUUACGUUGGACUUGCAUUGCAACCACUACGAAAUACUAACAAACGCAGCAGCGCGAUUUUGUCCUUCUACCACCAUAAUAGGACCACUGGCGUUGUAAGGAAAAAGUGGCUCAUGUUGGCCUUCUUCCAUGAAACUAUAAAUUUAAACCUAAUCUCGAGUAUGUUGAACCCGAUUAUUCAAACAUAACCUAGACGCUGUGCAACAAUGAUAAAGAUUGUAAAUUCAACAUACACCGCUUCUGAACCACGGAAUCGAAAAGAAAGGAUGUGUACAAGCAUAUCGACCGAUAGUAAUGUAACCAUUUUGCUUAUAGCGUCUUCAGAUUACCGAACAUAUCAAGAGAUAUCGUCGAUAACUGGGUCGCCCAUUGUUGUCGACGAGCUUCAGAGGUGGCCGCAUACGCGCAACAAUGGAACACUCAUCAUUGAAGCCAAUCAAUCAAUUCAUCAUUAAAAUACGUGACGGAAUAUCUCGGAGCCAAUCAAUCAAUUCAUCAUUAAAAUACGUGACGGAAUAUCUCGGAACACAAUAGCAAAUGGCAACCUGUAUAGUGACGGCUGCCGUAAUGACAGUGAUAAACUUGCCUUUGUCAUGACAUAGCUGUACUAAGUGAUCGCUUGUAUACUAUAAUAUUAAAAAAAAAAAUAUGUAUACUAUAUUAUAUAGUAUGGUAUACCAUUUGAAGCAAAAGUAGCACGGAAAAAAGUAAGCCUGUUCGACGCAGUUUGACCUGGAGGGCUAGCUACUAUUAAUUGAUCAAUUAAAUAAUCUGUGUUCGAAAUAAUCAGUGUAAUACGAUUAUUUAGUUCUUUCAGAAAGAAGCUCUUAUGUCUGUCUUCUAGUG
Long non-coding RNA from Varroa destructor (honeybee mite), 1740 nucleotides. RefSeq lists it as uncharacterized. The record is from RefSeq and is a predicted model, not a curated record. NCBI's taxonomy places the organism in Eukaryota, Metazoa, Arthropoda, Arachnida, Mesostigmata, Varroidae.